UACGUAGGGGGCAAGCGUUGUCCGGAUUUAUUGGGCGUAAAGAGCUCGUAGGCGGUCUGUCGCGUCUGCUGUGAAAACUCAGGGCUUAACCCUGAGCUUGCAGUGGGUACGGGCAGACUAGAGUGCGGUAGGGGAGACUGGAAUUCCUGGUGUAGCGGUGAAAUGCGCAGAUAUCAGGAGGAACACCGGUGGCGAAGGCGGAUCUCUGGGCCGUACCUGACGCUGAGGCGCGAAAGCUAGGGGAGCGAACAGG
Molecule: ribosomal RNA, 253 nt
Filed under: uncultured bacterium
Lineage: Bacteria
Description: partial 16S ribosomal RNA
Rfam family: Bacterial small subunit ribosomal RNA
Source: RNAcentral